Long non-coding RNA from Prionailurus viverrinus (fishing cat), 149 nucleotides. RefSeq lists it as uncharacterized. The record is from RefSeq and is a predicted model, not a curated record. The transcript has 3 exons. NCBI's taxonomy places the organism in Eukaryota, Metazoa, Chordata, Mammalia, Carnivora, Felidae.
UAUAAGCGACAGUCAGAAAUCAAACACAACACAUACAAGUGGUGUUCAUGGUCAGGUCACUAAGGCCUUUCCAGAAAGUUGAAGACGGCAAAUGAUUUCUAAAUCACUCAAAGAAAAACACUACACACGGUCAGACAACGAGGCAAGCA